UACGGGGGGGGCAAGCGUUGUUCGGAAUUACUGGGCGUAAAGGGCGCGUAGGCGGCCCUCUAAGUCAGGCGUGAAAUCCCCCGGCUUAACCUGGGAACUGCGUCUGAUACUGGGGGGCUUGAGUAUGGGAGAGGGAUGUAGAAUUCCAGGUGUAGCGGUGAAAUGCGUAGAUAUCUGGAGGAAUACCGGUGGCGAAGGCGGCAUCCUGGACCAUUACUGACGCUGAUGCGCGAAAGCUAGGGGAGCAAACGGG
Molecule: ribosomal RNA, 253 nt
Filed under: uncultured prokaryote
Description: partial 16S ribosomal RNA
Rfam family: Bacterial small subunit ribosomal RNA
Source: RNAcentral